AAUUAGGAAGGAAACAAGCGUUCAUUAUUUCCUAGUGUUUAGUUGAUAUCGUGGGACACGACGAGCUGCUGUGUCAGACUUGAGAUGGUGCAACUCCUGUACAUUAUUGUGCUGCGAAGGGUCAUGCUCUCACUCUGUCAUACAUCGUGGAGACGGUGGGUCAGGCAAGAGCGAUGAAAGCAGACUUGCAUGGUUGCACUCCAGCACACGAUGCUGCAGAUGGAGGGUGCAGGCCUUCAGAUAGAAAAUGUCAAGUUUUUCAAAAGUGCAACCAACAAGGAGGCAACGUUGGAACUUAUGCAGAGAGUGGUACAAUGUACAUUGUUUGUAGAAAUUUAUACAGAAUACAACACUUACAA
This is a long non-coding RNA of Corticium candelabrum, 359 nucleotides long. RefSeq lists it as uncharacterized. Lineage: Eukaryota; Metazoa; Porifera; Homoscleromorpha; Homosclerophorida; Plakinidae. The transcript has 3 exons. The record is from RefSeq and is a predicted model, not a curated record.